AACGAACGCUGGCGGCAUGCCUAACACAUGCAAGUCGAACGAGAUCUUCGGGUCUAGUGGCGCACGGGUGCGUAACGCGUGGGAGUCUGCCCUUUGGUUCGGAAUAACAGUUGGAAACGACUGCUAAUACCGGAUGAUGACGAAAGUCCAAAGAUUUAUCGCCAGAGGAUGAGCCCGCGUAGGAUUAGCUAGUUGGUGUGGUAAAGGCGCACCAAGGCGACGAUCCUUAGCUGGUCUGAGAGGAUGAUCAGCCACACUGGGACUGAGACACGGCCCAGACUCCUACGGGAGGCAGCAGUGGGGAAUAUCGGACAAUGGGCGAAAGCCUGAUCCAGCAAUGCCGCGUGAGUGAUGAAGGCCUUAGGGUUGUAAAGCUCUUUUACCCGGGAUGAUAAUGACAGUACCGGGAGAAUAAGCUCCGGCUAACUCCGUGCCAGCCGCCGCAGUAA
RNAcentral lists this ribosomal RNA (449 nucleotides) under uncultured bacterium. Its description in RNAcentral is "partial 16S ribosomal RNA". It matches the Rfam family "Bacterial small subunit ribosomal RNA", at positions 29 to 523 of the family's 1533-position model. The record is from RNAcentral.